RNAcentral lists this ribosomal RNA (534 nucleotides) under Cercomonas metabolicus. RNAcentral describes it as "eukaryotic LSU rRNA". It matches the Rfam family "Eukaryotic large subunit ribosomal RNA", at positions 704 to 1225 of the family's 3401-position model. Lineage: Eukaryota; Cercozoa; Cercomonadida; Cercomonadidae. The record is from RNAcentral.
AAACCCUAAGGCGGAAUGAAAGUGAAGGCAGUCUUGUACUGCUGAGGUAGGAAACCCGCAAGGGUGGCACUAUCGCCCGAUCUAACCUUCUGGAAAGAUUUGAGGAAGAGCAUAUAUGUUGGGACCCGAAAGAUGGUGAACUAUGCCUGAUCAGGGUGAAGCCAGGGGAAACUCUGGUGGAGGCUCGUAGCGAUACUGACGUGCAAAUCGUUCGUCUGAAUUGGGUAUAGGGGCGAAAGACUAAUCGAACCAUCUAGUAGCUGGUUCCCGCCGAAGUUUCCCUCAGGAUAGCAGGAACUUUUACAGUUUUAUCAGGUAAAGCUAAUGAUUAAAGGUCUUGGAGUUGAAACAACUUUAACCUAUUCUCAAACUUUAAAUAGGUAAGAAACCUUUGCUUUCUUAAGUGAAGCAGGGUCUCGAAUGGAAGUUCUUAGUGGGCCAUUUUUGGUAAGCAGAACUGGCGAUGCGGGAUGAACCGGACGUUGAGUUAAGGUGCCAAACUACUCGCUCAUCUAGAUACUCCUAAAAGGUGUU